RNAcentral lists this ribosomal RNA (232 nucleotides) under uncultured bacterium. RNAcentral's name for it is "partial 16S ribosomal RNA". It matches the Rfam family "Bacterial small subunit ribosomal RNA", at positions 524 to 753 of the family's 1533-position model. The record is from RNAcentral.
GACAGAGGGUGCAAACGUUGCUCGGAAUCACUGGGCGUAAAGGGCGUGUAGGCGGCCUGCUAAGUCGGACGUGAAAUCCCUCGGCUCAACCGAGGAACUGCGUCCGAUACUGGUGGGCUUGAGUCCGGGAGAGGUGAGUGGAAUUGCGGAGUGUAGAGGUGAAAUUCGUAGAUAUUCGCAAGAACACCAGUGGCGAAGGCGGCUCACUGGCCCGGUAACUGACGCUGAGACG